GCAGGACAAGCCAUGGCCCAUGGAAAUUAGUGUUUUCUGGGGCAGCAAAAAUCCUCUGGGAUUUAUUUCUGAAGUAUAGAAAUGUAAAAAGGAUGCUGGGGUUAGAGGCUGGAAGUCCAGAGCCCUAGUCUUCCAUCCACUUCUUCACACGUCCUGAUGCUGUUGCUAUUUCUUUACUUCUCUGAGCUUCAGUUUCUUUGUGUAUAAAAUGGGAAUAAUACUCACCCAACUCAUCUCAAAAGGGUUAGUUGUAGUACUUUUUAAACUAAUUAUCCAUGAGGAUGUGGGUUCGAUCCCCGGCCUGGCUCAGUGGGUUAGGGAUCUGACGUUGUCAUGAGCUGGGGUGUAGGUUAUAGAUGAGGCUCCAAUCCCAUGCUGCUGUGGCUACGGUGUAGGCCCGCAGCUGUAGCUCUGAUUUGACCCCAGCCUGGGAACUUCCAUAUGGUGCUGGUGUGGCCCUAAAAAAAAAAAAAAAGUGAUGCAUGUCACAUAAUACGAGCAGUAUAGAAGGGCCUAAGGUGAACAGCUCAACUCGCCUUCAAUCUCCCCAUCCCAAUGCCCCCAAUCCCACCCUCCUAAGACCCCCCCAUUCAUUUCUUACGUAUCUUAGAUACAUUCUGUGCUCAUGCAAGGGAACAUGCAGGCAAUAGGUUCUUUUUCUCUCCAAAUCAGAACAUACUGUACAUCUCAUCUGGCUUUUCCCCUUAGCAUUUUGAAGAUCCUUUUAUUUAGCAUAAAUAUACUCUUGUUUGCUUUUUAGGGCCACACCCGAGGCAUAUGGAGGUUCCAGGCUAGGAGUCGAAUCAGAGCUAUAGCUGCCAGCCUACACCACAGUCACAGCAACGUCAGAGCUGCCUCUGCAACCUACACCACAGCUCACAAUGCGCCACAACGGGAACUCCAAACACAAAUACACUUUUUAAUGGCUGAAUGAUACUCCAUGAUGUGAAAGUACCAUGACAUAUUUACCAAGCCCUCAGAGUUGGACAUUCAGGAUUCCUGUCCAUUUAAGGCCCUUCAGGCUGGCAGGUAGGAGAUUCAACAGUUGUCCCUGAUGUUGUGCUCUUGUGUGUUUUUUCCUUGCUGGAAUCCUGGGCCUCCAAAGUCAGAGCUUGUGGGAGCUGGACGCAGCCAGGCACAUCCGGCCUCAGGAUGGGAGGAGCAGUGGGAGACUUGUCGGCACCCUGGGUUGACGUCUCCUUGGGGCACAGGAAGCAGAGAAGGAAGUAGGUCUUGGGACAUCACUCAGGGUCUUUGCCUCUGUUGACCUCCUCAGCUGCUCGGCCUGUGUCUGGGUCCACGCAGGGAAGCUUGCUCUAUUAGAAUCACCCAGGGCACUACUAUAGUCUCAGAGCUGGACCGCACCCCAGGCCACUUAAACCAGAAUCUCUGGGAAUUGGCCCAGGACAUUUGAUCAUUAUUUCAGGUGAGUCUACUCUAUAUGAAAACUACAGCCCAGAAGCCUGAAGAUAAAAAUCACAUGGCAAACCUGAGGGCUUUGACUUUCUCCUUGUUUCAAUGCUAUGAAAGAGAUAGGACCAUCCCACAGCAUACAACCUGCAAUGCAUUCACCCAGCAUGCAUGCAAGGUGCCUACAUGGAGUGGUUCUUAUUCAUUCCUGGCUAAGUUUUUAUUUGGUCACCGUUUUGACUCUUCUUCAAAAUUGUUUAUGCAAAUUGGUAAGAAACUUCUAGCAGGCAAUUUGGUAACAUGUAUCAAGAGCCAUAAAACUGUUCAAAAUCCCUGGCCUACUUAUUCCACUUUUGGAAUCCAUGCUAAAGACAUAACAAAUAGGAGGAAAAGCUAUAUGCAUAAGAUGUUCAUUGCAGCAUUGUUUAUAUUAAUGGAAAACUGGAGACACCUAAAUGUCCGAUGACAUAGGUACAGGUAAGUAAACUAUGGUACAUCUAUUUGCUAGAAUAUUAAGUAGCCCUUAAAGUUAUGGCCAUGAAGACAAAGCAGUAACAUGGAAAAUGCUUGUGCCUUAAUGUUAAGUGAAUACACAGAAUACAAUGUGUGGCUACACUUCGAUCACAACUACCUGCAGAGAAAACUAAAUGUAAAUUUAAAAAUUAGAGGCAUUCCCACUGUGGCUCAGAGGAUUGAGAACCUGACCAGUAUCAUGAAGAUGAGGGUUCAAUCCUUGGCCUUGAUCAGUGGGUUAAGGAUCCCUCGUUGCCACAAGCUGUAGCAUAGGUCACAAAUGUGGCUCAGUUCUGGCAUUGCCAUGGCUCUGGUGUAGGCCAGGGGCUGCCACGUUGAUUCAACCCCUGGCCUAGGAACUUCAAUAUGCUGAAGGUGCUGCCCUAAAAAGAAAAAAAGAGGCAGUUUCUGUUGUGGCCCAGGGGAAACGAAUCUGACGAGUAUCCAUGAGAACACAGGUUUGAUCCCUGGCCCUGCUCAGUGGGUUAAGGAUCCGGUGUUGCCGUGAGCUGUGGUUUAGGUCACAGAUGAGGGUUGGAUCCCAUAUUGCUGUGGCUAUGGUGUAGGCCAGCAGCUGUAGCUGAUUCGACCCCUAGCUUGGGAACCUCCAUAUGUUGCAGGUGCAGCCUUAAAAAAAAAAAAAAAAAAAA
This 2573-nucleotide long non-coding RNA is filed under the name Sus scrofa (pig). Its description in RNAcentral is "lncRNA (ENSSSCG00030066090.1)". The record is from RNAcentral. Lineage: Eukaryota; Metazoa; Chordata; Mammalia; Artiodactyla; Suidae.